UACGAAGGGUGCAAGCGUUAAUCGGAAUUACUGAGCGUAAAGCGCGCGUAGGUGGUUCAGUAAGUUGGAUGUGAAAUCCCCGGGCUCAACCUGGGAACUGCAUCCAAAACUGCUGAGCUAGAGUACGGUAGAGGGUGGUGGAAUUUCCUGUGUAGCGGUGAAAUGCGUAGAUAUAGGAAGGAACACCAGUGGCGAAGGCGACCACCUGGACUGAUACUGACACUGAGGUGCGAAAGCGUGGGGAGCAAACAGG
This 253-nucleotide ribosomal RNA is filed under the name uncultured bacterium. RNAcentral describes it as "partial 16S ribosomal RNA". It matches the Rfam family "Bacterial small subunit ribosomal RNA", at positions 524 to 776 of the family's 1533-position model. The record is from RNAcentral.